UUCUUGUCGUUUUUACUAUAUUGAAAUUAUGACGAUUCGUUCGAAAUAUAGGAAAAUGACAAAGAGCUG
This 69-nucleotide microRNA precursor is filed under the name Panagrellus redivivus. RNAcentral describes it as "microRNA prd-mir-7902 precursor". The record is from miRBase by way of RNAcentral. Lineage: Eukaryota; Metazoa; Nematoda; Chromadorea; Rhabditida; Panagrolaimidae.